This 67-nucleotide transfer RNA is filed under the name bovine gut metagenome. It matches the Rfam family "tRNA", at positions 5 to 66 of the family's 71-position model. Rfam says of the family: Transfer RNA (tRNA) molecules are approximately 80 nucleotides in length. Their secondary structure includes four short double-helical elements and three loops (D, anti-codon, and T loops). The record is from RNAcentral.
ACAUAGCUCAACUGGACGAGAGCAACGGAUUUCUAAUCCGUAGGUUGAGGGUUCGACUCCUUCUGUG